RNAcentral lists this ribosomal RNA (446 nucleotides) under uncultured bacterium. RNAcentral's name for it is "partial 16S ribosomal RNA". It matches the Rfam family "Bacterial small subunit ribosomal RNA", at positions 330 to 793 of the family's 1533-position model. The record is from RNAcentral.
CCCAGACUCCUACGGGAGGCAGCAGUGGGGAAUAUUGCACAAUGGGGGGAACCCUGAUGCAGCGACGCCGCGUGGGUGAAGGAGUACUUCGGUACGUAAAGCCCUAUCAGCAGGAAAGAAAAUGACGGUACCUGACUAAGAAGCCCCGGCUAACUACGUGCCAGCAGCCGCGGUAAUACGUAGGGGGCAAGCGUUAUCCGGAUUUACUGGGUGUAAAGGGAGCGUAGACGGCAGUGCAAGUCCGGAGUGAAAGCCCGGGGCUCAACCCUGGGACUGCUCUGGAAACUGUAAAGCUGGAGUGCGGGAGGGGCAGGCGGAAUUCCUGGUGUAGCGGUGAAAUGCGUAGAUAUCAGGAGGAACACCGGUGGCGAAGGCGGUCUGCUGGACUGCAACUGACGUUGAGGCCCGAAAGCGUGGGGAGCAAACAGGAUUAGAUACCCCCGUAC